UCAAGUGACUAAGUGUAUGUGGUGGAUGCCUUGGCGAUUACAGGCGAAGAAGGACGUGGCAGUCUGCGAAAAGCCGUGGGGAGCUGACAACGAGCGUUGAACCAUGGAUAUCCGAAUGAGGGAACUCACCUGCAAAGGUAUCUUUAAGUGAAUUCAUAGCUUAAAGAGGCGAACGGAGUGAACUGAAACAUCUAAGUAGCUCCAGGAAAAGAAAUCAACCGAGAUUGCGCUAGUAGCGGCGAGCGAAUGCGCAGCAGCCUAAUGCUUGAUAACACUGACAACAGUAGAACGAUCUGGAAAGUUCGGCCAAAGACGGUGAUAGCCCGGUAUAUGAAAUUGUUAGUGUGGUACUAAGAGCAUGAGAAGUAGAGCGGGACACGUGACAUCCUGCUCGAAGAUGGGGGGACCAUCCUCCAAGGCUAAAUACUCGUAAUCGACCGAUAGUGAACCAGUACCGUGAGGGAAAGGCGAAAAGAACCCCGGGAGGGGAGUGAAAUAGAAUCUGAAACCGCAUACAUACAAACAGUAGGAGCCCGCAAGGGUGACUGCGUACCUUUUGCAUAAUGGGUCAGCGACUUACGUUCAGUAGCGAGCUUAACCGAGUAGGGGAGGCGUAGCGAAAGCGAGUUCGAAUAGAGCGAGUAGUUGCUGGGCGUAGACCCGAAACCGGAUGAUCUAUCCAUGACCAGGUUGAAGUUGUGGUAACACACAAUGGAGGACCGAACCGACUAGUGUUGCAAAAUUAGCGGAUGAGUUGUGGAUAGGGGUGAAAGGCUAAACAAAUCCGGAGAUAGCUGGUUCUCCCCGAAAACUAUUGAGGUAGUGCCUCGCGUAUCACUCCAGGGGGUAGAGCACUGUUAUGGCUAGGGGGACAUGGCGUCUUACCAAACCAUGGCAAACUCCGAAUACUUGGAAGUGUGAGCGCGGGAGACAGAGCACCGGGUGCUAACGUCCGGACUCAAAAGGGAAACAACCCAGACCGCCGGCUAAGGUCCCUAAUAUUUGCUAAGUGGAAAACGAAGUGGGAAGGCUAAGACAGUCAGGAAGUUGGCUUAGAAGCAGCCAUCCUUUAAAGAAAGCGUAAUAGCUCACUGAUCGAGUCUUUCUGCGCGGAAGAUGUAACGGGGCUAAGCAAGUAACCGAAGCCGCGGAUUCAUACGAAAGUAUGAGUGGUAGGGGAGCGUUCUGUAAGCCUGCGAAGGUGUGUUGAGAAGCAUGCUGGAGGUAUCAGAAGUGCGAAUGCUGACAUGAGUAACGUUAAAGCGGGUGAAAAGCCCGCUCGCCGUAAGCCCAAGGUUUCCUGCUCUACGUUCAUCGGAGCAGGGUGAGUCGGCCCCUAAGGCCAGGCUGAGAAGCGUAGUCGAUGGGAACAAGGUUAAUAUUCCUAGACCAUUGUCAAGUAUGCGAUGGGGGGACGGAGUGUGAAAGAUGAUCCGGGUGUUGGAUAUCCCGGUUUGUGAGAGUAGAAGGAAGGCAGGCAAAUCCGCCUUCGAAUCUUCGAGUCAAAACAUCGAUUCUCCACGAGAGAAGAAGUCAUCGGAAGUGCUUCCAAGAAAAGCCUCUAAGUGGUAGCUUGACAAGACCGUACCGUAAACCGACACUGGUGGGCGAGUUGAAUAUACUAAGGCGCUUGAGAGAACUCGGGAGAAGGAACUCGGCAAAUUGACACCGUAACUUCGGAAGAAGGUGUGCCUUUGUAGCGUGAGAGAAGAAACAUCUUAAGCGUGAAGAGGCCUCAGAGAAUAGGUGGCUGCAACUGUUUACUAAAAACAUAGCACUCUGCAAAGAUGAAAGUCGACGUAUAGGGUGUGAUGCCUGCCCGGUGCUGGAAGAUUAAUUGAUGGGGUGCAAGCUCCUGAUCGAAGUCCCAGUAAACGGCGGCCGUAACUAUAACGGUCCUAAGGUAGCGAAAUUCCUUGUCGGGUAA
RNAcentral lists this ribosomal RNA (1927 nucleotides) under human gut metagenome. RNAcentral's name for it is "bacterial LSU rRNA". It matches the Rfam family "Bacterial large subunit ribosomal RNA", at positions 3 to 1979 of the family's 2925-position model. The record is from RNAcentral.